UCCAAGCCCAACUUCCCCAGCUAGGGCGUGUGAUGUGGGGGUGGGGGUGUCUUGUAAACUGGAGCUUCCACCAUUGCAGUAGGCGGAGUGGAGGCCCAGGCUUCAAGACCAAGCAGCAGCUCCUGGGCCAAGCCUCAUCUUGCCCAGUGUGGCCUGUCAAGAUGACGGCCUGGAAGAGAAGCCAGACUGGGCAGCCAGGCCUCUGCCCCUCCCCUUGCCUGGUGGCACAGCCAGCACUGGCUCACUGGGAAAGCUCACAACUCCUCACAGCGAUCUGGUAUCUUGAGCGUCAGUUUCUGGCCGAAACUGGGGGCUCCUGACUGAACUCCCUCCCACCUAGAAAACCUUCUGUGCAGUCUGAUUGCUCCAACACCCACAGAGCAGGAUUCAGGUAUCCCGGAGACCUUGGGAGGUCCCCAUCCAGAGGUCUGCUGUCCUGCCAGGCUUGGGGCAGCAGGGACUGGGACCCCACUCAGACCUCUCUGGGGCAAAUGUUUUGGUUCUCACAACAGCCCUAGUGAAAUCAAUCCUAGAUAC
This 537-nucleotide long non-coding RNA is filed under the name Homo sapiens (human). Its description in RNAcentral is "HSALNT0390091". Lineage: Eukaryota; Metazoa; Chordata; Mammalia; Primates; Hominidae. The record is from RNAcentral.